RNAcentral lists this long non-coding RNA (206 nucleotides) under Homo sapiens (human). Its description in RNAcentral is "HSALNT0120117". Lineage: Eukaryota; Metazoa; Chordata; Mammalia; Primates; Hominidae. The record is from RNAcentral.
UCUGUCAUUUCACGUACUCGUCACUGUCUCCAACCUCUUCAGAACCAGAAUCCACCUAACCAUUAACAAAUUGCCCAGGAUAGAGAUAGACAAGGCAUCUGUCCAAACCAGGUACUGCUUAUUUUGUGGAAAUUAGCAGAGUGGUUUCUAUGGGUAUGGCCAAGAGGUACAUUUGGAGUUUUGCUAGAAGGUAGGUAAAGCAAUCA